Molecule: ribosomal RNA, 469 nt
Filed under: uncultured bacterium
Lineage: Bacteria
Description: bacterial SSU rRNA
Rfam family: Bacterial small subunit ribosomal RNA
Source: RNAcentral
GAUGAACGCUAGCGGAAGGCUUAAUACAUGCAAGUCGAGCGGUAAAAAUCUGAGCAAUUGGAUUUGAGAGCGGCGCACGGGUGAGUAACGCGUACAUGACCUACCUUUAAGAUCGGGAUAGCCCUGGGAAACUGGGAUUAAUACCGGAUGUGAUAAUAAGUAUAGAGAUUUAUUAUUAAAGCUGAGGCGCUUAGAGAUGGGUGUGCGUCUGAUUAGCUAGUUGGUAGGGUAAAGGCCUACCAAGGCGACGAUCAGUAGGGGCGUGAGAGCGUGAUCCCCCACACGGGUACUGAGACACGGACCCGACUCCUACGGGAGGCAGCAGUAGGGAAUAUUGCGCAAUGGGCGGAAGCCUGACGCAGCGACGCCGCGUGAGCGAAGAAGGCCCUUGGGUCGUAAAGCUCUGUCCUUGGGGAAGAAGGCGAAAGCUUGACGGUACCCAAGAAGAAAGCCCCGGCUAACCUACGUG